Molecule: transfer RNA, 76 nt
Filed under: Clostridiales bacterium
Lineage: Bacteria; Bacillati; Bacillota; Clostridia; Eubacteriales
Description: tRNA-Arg
Rfam family: tRNA
About the family: Transfer RNA (tRNA) molecules are approximately 80 nucleotides in length. Their secondary structure includes four short double-helical elements and three loops (D, anti-codon, and T loops).
Source: RNAcentral
GCGCCUGUGGCUUAACGGAUAGAGCAUCAGAUUCCGGUUCUGACGGUUGGGGGUUCGAAUCCCUUCAGGCGCGCCA